Molecule: ribosomal RNA, 792 nt
Filed under: uncultured bacterium
Lineage: Bacteria
Description: bacterial SSU rRNA
Rfam family: Bacterial small subunit ribosomal RNA
Source: RNAcentral
AGAGUUUGAUCCUGGCUCAGAACGAACGCUGGCGGCGUGCUUAACACAUGCAAGUCGAACGCGAAAAUUUUCCUCGGAAAGUGAGUAGAGUGGCGCACGGGUGAGUAACGCGUAAGUUAUCUACCUCGGCAUCCGGAAUAACUCACCGAAAGGUGUGCUAAUACCGGAUACGUUGAGUAAUCAAGAAAGGUGGCCUCUGAAUAUGCUACUGUGCUGAGAUGAGCUUGCGUACCAUUAGCUAGUUGGUAGGGUAACGGCCUACCAAGCCGACGAUCAGUAGGGGUUCUGAGAGGAUUACCCCCCACACUGGUACUGAGACACGGACCAGACUCCUACGGGAGGCAGCAGUGAGGAAUAUUGGUCAAUGGGCGAGAGCCUGAACCAGCCAUCCCGCGUGCAGGAUGACGGCCCUAUGGGUUGUAAACUGCUUUUCUGCUCCAAGAAACCCACCUACGUGUAGGUGGUUGACGGUAGAGUAGGAAUAAGCAUCGGCUAACUCCGUGCCAGCAGCCGCGGUAAUACGGAGGAUGCAAGCGUUAUCCGGAUUCAUUGGGUUUAAAGGGUGCGCAGGUGGGAAUGUAAGUCAGUGGUGAAAUACUGCCGCUUAACGGUAGAGCUGCCAUUGAUACUGCGUUUCUUGAGUAUGGUUGAGGUAGGUGGAAUGUGUUGUGUAGCGGUGAAAUGCAUAGAUAUGACACAGAACGCCGAUUGCGAAGGCAACUUACUAAGCCAUUACUGACGCUGAGGCACGAAAGCGUGGGUAGCGAACAGGAUUAGAUACCCUGGUAGUCC